CGUAGUCUAUUUAAGUCCUUAGCCAAUACAAACUCUAACUCUUAUCCUAACUUAGGAUCAAGUUCUCUUCACAUAAGGAGACAUUCCUCCUUAUCCCAAAUACAACCUGUUCGAUUACGUUCAGAAGAUAUUGAUGCGUGAUCUUUAGUGCAUAUCUUCCUCACGUGCUUCACAUGUGCCUUGGUUAAUUCAGACUGUGUUGUACAAGAUGGACCAGGUCCUUCCAUAGGUUCAUUUGUCAGUCUUCAAAACUACAACUGAAACUUGGCACCAAUUUCCCCCUUUUUGAUGAUGACAAACUCUAUGCUUAUUCUGAUCAGUAAACCUUUGAUCUCAGCUGAAAAUCAACGCUUAAAAAUUUUAACUUAUCAUCAAGGAGGUCAGAUUUUGGUCAUAAACAUCACUAGAAUUUUAUGCACAAUAUCUUCCCCCUUUUGGCAUCAUCAAAAGUUGCAUUAAUACACUGAAUCCUCUAAGUUAAUUAAUACUCAUGCCACUGGGGCAACUGCAAGUGAACACAUGGUCAGGUUAAUCACAAAUCACUUACAAAUAACUAUUUAGAACAAAUUCAACAGGAACAAGACAAGUUGUAUUCAUUGAUUAAAGAAGUGUUUCUACAGUGCAUUCCACAAAAAGAAUAACAAAAUAUCCAACCAUGAGCAAAAAAAAUAGAAUAAGAACAGACAAGAACUUCCUAGACUGGAAACUGGAAACUGAAAGGUUACUAGACCGGACAUUAAGAACAGGACACCUAAGGCUUGGAAGUGCUGGAGGGUUGGGCUUGUAGCAGAUUUAACAUUUGCUGGAGCAUGCCUUCGUUUUUUCCUUUUCUUUGGCAAGUUCAACUCUCAGUCCAUUACUUUCUCCCUCCAAAUCAGCAAUUCUGGCAUUGAGCCUUACAAUUUCAGCAUCCUUUGACCAACUGUUGAACCAAGGAUUUGACCUUACUGUUCAUAGGAGUCUUGGCAGAUGAACCAGGUCAAUAGGGCAGCAUUGAGCAGAUAGUCACAUGCUUGAAGGGUCUUGAAACCAAAGCGCUCCUUGCUGGAGGCCAUUUCCCACUUUUUCAAAGGAACAUGUAGUCGUUCAAGCACAGUAGUCAAGAUAAAACCAUAGGGAAUGGCAUGAGCCUUUGAACCAUUUAUCACCCUUUCAAGCAGCUUCACCAUAAAAACAGGCCACUUAAUCUGUUUUCCUUCAUUCAUACACUGCAUGAGCACCAGAUCCAUAUAUUUAGCUAUAUAAUCACCCUUUCAAGCAGCUUCACCAUAAAGAUAGGCCAAUUGAUCUUCGUCUCUUCAUUCAUACACUGCAUGAGCACCAGAUCCAUAUAAUUAGUUGUAUGCCUUCUUUCCUAUCUAAUCAGAAGGCACUUGUUGACAAAUUCGAAAAGUACUUUGUGCUCUGGCCUCAUCUCACUUUUCUGGACUGCCCUUGCCUCAGGCACUUCUUCAGCUGUGUUGGUGUCACGGAAAUCCUUGUUAUUUGCACCACCAAAGGAAACCCAUCCAAGCAAAGCCACCUCUGCCUUGUAUAAUCAUCAUAUCCCUCACAAGGGACACCCAGAGUCUUUCCCAAUUUUUUCAGCAUUGAAUUUCACUUUGACGCCCCUCAGUGUGCUGGUCACCUAACCAUUCUUCACUUUUCCAUUGGACAUGACUCUACUAGUUCCUUACUUACCAAUUUUCCAUGAAUGUGAACGACCAUGUCCUUCCAACCUUGUGCCUCCAGUGCUGUGACAAGCCUUAUCAUGCCUGGCUCCUCCAAGUCUUUUAGUAAUCUUCCCUUCAAUAUUUUUCUUUUGUCAAUGUUUGCAUACCUAUCAUGCUCUUCUUCAGACCCACUUUCAUAUUAUUCUUCUUCAAUAAUUGGUACUUUCACUUGUUCAGGAACUGGUUUGGAGGGUUUCUUAUAGGAAGUCCUAGGCUCUUUUGAUUUUGCAAGUGGAACCACCACGGUAGUGUUUCUUUCUUGAUGGACCAAUUCCAUCUCUUCUUCCUCAUCCUUCGCUAUAACUUCUUAACUUUCACCUAUCUUCCCUUUUCCCUUUUCUUUUCUUUUUCUCUUACUCUCCUCUAAGGCUUUCUGCAACUCAGCUUCACUCUCCCUAACCUUGCUUCUAGUUGUCCU
RNAcentral lists this long non-coding RNA (2130 nucleotides) under Nicotiana benthamiana. RNAcentral describes it as "long non-coding RNA (NBEN_LNC004390)". The record is from RNAcentral. Lineage: Eukaryota; Viridiplantae; Streptophyta; Magnoliopsida; Solanales; Solanaceae.